This 499-nucleotide ribosomal RNA is filed under the name uncultured Glomeromycotina. Its description in RNAcentral is "partial small subunit ribosomal RNA". It matches the Rfam family "Eukaryotic small subunit ribosomal RNA", at positions 591 to 1092 of the family's 1831-position model. The record is from RNAcentral. Lineage: Eukaryota; Fungi; Glomeromycota.
CCAAUAGCGUAUAUUAAAGUUGUUGCAGUUAAAAAGCUCGUAGUUGAACUUCAGGCCUGGCUGGACGGUCCGCCUUCCGGGCGAGUACUGUCUGUGGUCGGGUCCUACCUUCUGGCGAAGCGUCAUGGCCUUAACCGGCCGUGGCGGGGAACCAGGACUUUUACUGUGAAAAAAUUAGAGUGUUCAAAGCAGGCAAUUUCGCUUGGAUACAUUAGCAUGGAAUAAUGGAAUAGGACAAUGGUUCUAUUUGUUGGUUUCUAGGACUGUUGUAAUGAUUAAUAGGGAUAGUUGGGGGCAUUAGUAUUCAAUUGUCAGAGGUGAAAUUCUUGGAUUUAUUGAAGACUAACUACUGCGAAAGCAUUUGCCAAGGAUGUUUUCAUUAAUCAAGAACGAAAGUUAGGGGAUCGAAGACGAUCAGAUACCGUCGUAGUCUUAACCAUAAACUAUGCCGACUAGGAAUCGGGCGAUGUUGAAAAAAUGACGCGCUCGGCACCUCAUG